Long non-coding RNA from Drosophila persimilis, 536 nucleotides. RefSeq lists it as uncharacterized. NCBI's taxonomy places the organism in Eukaryota, Metazoa, Arthropoda, Insecta, Diptera, Drosophilidae. The transcript has 3 exons. The record is from RefSeq and is a predicted model, not a curated record.
GCAUUGAGUUUUUUUUCCGUACAAAACGCAAUCACCGUCGAACCUUACUCCGAAUCCAGCUCGAACCUGGUUCGAGCGCGAGUGAUGCCGUUUUUCCCAUACAAAACGCAAAACUCAUUUGUUUUUUCAUCGUGCAACAUAUACACGCAUAAUAAGAACCCCCCGUUUAGGCUAAAUAUCAAGUGCAAUCCCCCCCAAAAACUACCAAAAGGCAAUUCAAUUUACGUAAAAGACAAAACAAAAAGAAAAGAAGUGAAAAAACGGCGCGUGUGAAAUUUUUUCAACGAAGAGAAGUUGAAGCAGCCGCAGCACAGCAGAGGAGAAGCAGAGCAACAGCAGCAGCAACAAAAAGAAGAGAAAAAUACAACUACAAAAUUCCCCACACACAAAUGUUUAAUAGAGUUUUCAAGGAAAAUGUGCAACAAGAAGCCGCCGUUAGGGAGCAGGACCAGCAACAACAAUAAAAUUAAGGCUGCUGGACAGGUUUCCCACGGCUAAAGAAAACAACGAGGAAAAGAAGAAGGAGUAGGAGGAAA